This 715-nucleotide ribosomal RNA is filed under the name Bacillus sp. (in: firmicutes). Its description in RNAcentral is "bacterial SSU rRNA". It matches the Rfam family "Bacterial small subunit ribosomal RNA", at positions 57 to 753 of the family's 1533-position model. The record is from RNAcentral. Lineage: Bacteria; Bacillati; Bacillota; Bacilli; Caryophanales; Bacillaceae.
GCAGUCGAGCGAUGGAUUGAGAGCUUGCUCUCAAGAAGUUAGCGGCGGACGGGUGAGUAACACGUGGGUAACCUGCCCAUAAGACUGGGAUAACUCCGGGAAACCGGGGCUAAUACCGGAUAAUAUUUUGAACUGCAUGGUUCGAAAUUGAAAGGCGGCUUCGGCUGUCACUUAUGGAUGGACCCGCGUCGCAUUAGCUAGUUGGUGAGGUAACGGCUCACCAAGGCAACGAUGCGUAGCCGACCUGAGAGGGUGAUCGGCCACACUGGGACUGAGACACGGCCCAGACUCCUACGGGAGGCAGCAGUAGGGAAUCUUCCGCAAUGGACGAAAGUCUGACGGAGCAACGCCGCGUGAGUGAUGAAGGCUUUCGGGUCGUAAAACUCUGUUGUUAGGGAAGAACAAGUGCUAGUUGAAUAAGCUGGCACCUUGACGGUACCUAACCAGAAAGCCACGGCUAACUACGUGCCAGCAGCCGCGGUAAUACGUAGGUGGCAAGCGUUAUCCGGAAUUAUUGGGCGUAAAGCGCGCGCAGGUGGUUUCUUAAGUCUGAUGUGAAAGCCCACGGCUCAACCGUGGAGGGUCAUUGGAAACUGGGAGACUUGAGUGCAGAAGAGGAAAGUGGAAUUCCAUGUGUAGCGGUGAAAUGCGUAGAGAUAUGGAGGAACACCAGUGGCGAAAGGCGACUUUCUGGUCUGUAACUGACACUGAGGCG